Long non-coding RNA from Dinoponera quadriceps, 2715 nucleotides. RefSeq lists it as uncharacterized. Lineage: Eukaryota; Metazoa; Arthropoda; Insecta; Hymenoptera; Formicidae. The transcript is spliced from 2 exons. The record is from RefSeq and is a predicted model, not a curated record.
GAUAAUGUGUAUUUUAAAUAUUUAUUCCUUUUUUUCAUUUCAAAGGACAAUUUGUUUUUUCUUCUUUUUAUUAUAAGAUAACAUUAUCCUAAGCAUCUUCGAGGGUUUGCACCCCGCUCUGUACCUAAAUUACUUUUUAUAUAACAUUUUUUCUCACCUUCUUCUGUUUUCACCGUUUUUUAUCGUUUUUCCACUGCAGACAAGCCAGCUUCCACCUCCUUCCCUAAAUAAAUUCUUUCUCUCCCGCCCCCUCUUUUUCUUUCUCUCUUUCUCUUCUCCCCUCUCUCUCUCUCCUUUCUUUUCAUCUCUCUUUUGUCGAUAUCACUUAUCGCAGUCAAUUGUAUAUCGUUACUAUUACCCCAACUUCUACUUCGUUUCUCCAUCUCUGCUUUCGUCUCGCCCCGUGUUGACUUUAUACAAAUUGAUUUUUUGACAGUUUUAUGGCAUUUUACCGUCGGUGGUGGAAACUGAAGGUGUGUGUGUGUGUGUUUGUGUGUGUGUGUAUGUGUCAUGUGAUAAGCAUAUCUGGCGCGUCGAACACGUCAUCAGAAUUCAUUCCGCUUCUCAUCCGAUCCGUUUCUUUCUUUCUUUCUUCCUUCCUUUCCCUCCCUUUUCACGAAUACUUUACUGCGAUACAAAACGAGACGGUGCUACUAAAUGAAUGGGUGCGUAUAGCUGUCGUUUCGGAUCGCGACGGACAGAGGACAAGGUACCUGGGAGCUCUGCGUUCGAAAUCAACUCAACGCAACGCGGCGUUUUGAUGAACGAGUGAAACGGUGGCCCACGAUGGGUGUGUAUAUUUAAACGUGCCCUACAAUCGCCGGUAAGAUUAUGUUUGCAAGAAGCAAGAAAUUAACCGAUCAUAGUCGAUUCCGAUCAUAGUCGUUCUCCUUACAUUCAGUUUUAAGAACAGGAUAGAGAUGCAUUUAUCAGAGGAGAAAUUGUAAGUUUUAUCAGACAAGUAGUAAUUUAAAGUAACUAUGCUAUUUAAACGAAUACAAUUACUGUGACACGAAAAUGCGAUGUGUAAUAAAUUUCUUGUUGUUUUAGUUUCCGUUGUUUAAAUUAAAUACUUUUACCGUUCAUUGUAGGCUACGUUUUAGGGCCUACAAUAGGAAUAGUAGGAGUAUGUUUGUAAAAAGUAAGAGUACGAAAUUAAGCAAUCAUAUUCGAAUGUAAGAGGAAUAAACGACUAUGAUCACUAAAUUUCUCACUUAUAAGCCGAAUCUACGAUAGAUGUAGUAAGCCUUAAGCAUAAAAAAAAUUGACCAAUCACAAUCGAAUUAUAGAAGAAUAAUCAAUAGUGAUUGGUCGAUUUCUCAAGGCUUACGGCUUAAAUUCUCACCGUAGAUCCCGCUUUGUUUCUUACAACAUACUCCCACCGCCCACGUUGCAGCACACGUUUACACGAAGUAAGAGUAAGAAAUCGACCAAUCACAGUCGAUCGUUCUCCUCACAUUCGAAUACGAUUGGCCAACUUCUUAUUCUUACUUCUUGCGAACAUACUCCCGUUGUAGACUAAACGCUUAAUUAAAGCAGAGCUUGCCUCGCGAAGAAUGAUCGUGUGCUUUAUCUCUUUCUGUCCUUCCCGCAGGACUCGCGUGUGUGUGUAUGUAUUUGUGUGUGUGUGUGUGGGUGUCGGAAGAAGUCGCCGGUGAGAAACCGCCUACGACGAGCAGCAGCUACUUUAUACACGCACACACCCGGAUGAUGAUGGUUUCUCGCGACGAUACAGCGAAUCGACGACCGCCGAGAGCGGACACGAGAGAGAGAAACAACACGCCCCGUUGAGACGUUGUCCACUUCGGCAGGCGAAUUCGUUGCGCGACUGUGCCCUCUUCAUGCUCGCAUACUCCGAACGACGCGACUUCCGCGAACGUACCGGCGACACACCAUGCACACACCGGUGUGUCUCCGGCCGGGCCACCCGAGGCCCAGGGAGCGCGCGAUCUCGGGACGGGGGGAUGACGCCGGAGAGAAGCAACUACUACGACACGGGUUGUUGUGUUACGGAAACUUCCGUUACCAUUAUUAAACUUGGAAGACACGACGAAGGAGUUGAGAAUCGUGCCGAUCACGACCAAUCUGCGCGCGGGAGGAGUCAUAUGUAUAUUUUAACAUAUACCGCAACAAGAAUCCACGACGCGUCGCGGGACGCCUCGACAGGAACGGAAACGCGUGCGUGUGACGGACGCAGCCGAGGAGAAUACACGCGGUGCGCGCGACACGUCGAUACGUCAUUUACUUAACGCGCACCAUAUCGCACACACGUAGCAAUUUUAAUUCGCGUCUGUAUUCGUAUCCGAACGACAAACCUCGAUACGCUGACACGUCUGUAACAAAAAAAAAACAUCUCUCUCUUUUUUUUUCUUUCGCUCGCUCGCUCGUUCGUUCACACUUCGUCUCUUUCUCUUCUUAUUGUUGGUUUUUCUCCUCAAAGAUAAUCAUAGCAAAGUUUUUUUUUCUUUUUUAUACAUUGACCACCGACGAUAAAUAUCACAUAACGAGGAAAGUUGUAACUCGUUACUCUCUCGUUACUCUCGCGCAGUUUAUUUAUUUUGUUAAAAGCCCCGCACGCGUUGGCGUAUCCACGCGUCGGAAAAUCUAGCUACAUCACAGGCGCUGUGUCUAGCUAAUCGCUUUUCUAUCCUUAUUUUAUUAACUAUGUCCGGUGCUCUCUCUCUCUCUCUCUCUCUCUCUCUCUCUCUCUCUCUC